CGCUGGCGGCGUGCUUAACACAUGCAAGUCGAACGAACCUUCGGGUUAGUGGCGGACGGGUGAGUAACGCGUGAGAAUCUGCCCUCAGGAGGGGGAUAACGGCUGGAAACGGCCGCUAAUACCCCAUAUGCCGCGAGGUGAAAUGAAUUUCGCCUGAGGAUGAGCUCGCGUCUGAUUAGCUAGUUGGUGGGGUAAAGGCCUACCAAGGCAUCGAUCAGUAGCUGGUCUGAAAGGAUGAUCAGCCACACUGGGACUGAAACACGGCCCAGACUCCUACGGGAGGCAGCAGUGGGGAAUUUUCCGCAAUGGGCGAAAGCCUGACGGAACAACGCCGCGUGAGGGAUGAAGGCCUCUGGGCUGUAAACCUCUUUUAUCAAGGAAGAAGAUCUGACGGUACUUGAUGAAUAAGCCACGGCUAAUUCCGUGCCAGCAGCCGCGGUAAUACGGGAGUGGCAAGCGUUAUCCGGAAUUAUUGGGCGUAAAGCGUCCGCAGGCGGCCCUUCAAGUCUGCUGUUAAAAAGUGGAACUUAACUCCAUCAUGGCAGUGGAAACUGUUGGGCUUGAGUGUGGUAGGGCAGAAGGAAUUCCCGGUGUAGCGGUGAAAUGCGUAGAUAUCGGGAAGAACACCAGUGGCGAAGGCGCUCUGCUGGGCCAUCACUGACGCUCAUGGACGAAAGCCAGGGGAGCGAAAGGGAUUAGAUACCCUGUAGUCCUGGCCGUAAACGAUGAACACUAGGUGUCGGGGGAAUCGACCCCCUCGGUGUCGUAGCCAACGCGUUAAGUGUUCCGCCUGGGGAGUACGCACGCAAGUGUGAAACUCAAAGGAAUUGACGGGGGCCCGCACAAGCGGUGGAGUAUGUGGUUUAAUUCGAUGCAACGCGAAGAACCUUACCAGGGUUUGACAUCCUGCGAAUUUCUGGGAAACCGGAAAGUGCCUUCGGGAGCGCAGUGACAGGUGGUGCAUGGCUGUCGUCAGCUCGUGUCGUGAGAUGUUGGGUUAAGUCCCGCAACGAGCGCAACCCACGUCUUUAGUUGCCAGCAUUCAGUUGGGCACUCUAGAGAGACCGCCGGUGAUAAACCGGAGGAAGGUGUGGAUGACGUCAAGUCAUCAUGCCCCUUACAUCCUGGGCUACACACGUACUACAAUGCUACGGACAAAGGGCAGCAAGUUCGCGAGGACAAGCAAAUCCCAUAAACCGUGGCUCAGUUCAGAUCGUAGGCUGCAACUCGCCUACGUGAAGGAGGAAUCGCUAGUAAUCGCAGGUCAGCAUACUGCGGUGAAUACGUUCCCGGGCCUUGUACACACCGCCCGUCACACCAUGGAAGUUGGCCACGCCCGAAGCCGUUACUCCAACCCUUGUGGAGGAGGACGUCGAAGGUGGGGCUGAUGACUGGGGUGA
This 1400-nucleotide ribosomal RNA is filed under the name uncultured bacterium. RNAcentral describes it as "bacterial SSU rRNA". It matches the Rfam family "Bacterial small subunit ribosomal RNA". The record is from RNAcentral.